CCUACGGGUGGCAGCAGUGAGGAAUAUUGGUCAAUGGGCUAAGGCCUGAACCAGCCAAGUCGCGUGAGGGAAGACGGUCCUAUGGAUUGUAAACUUCUUUUGUCGGGGAGCAACGAGGCCCCGUGUGGCCGAAGUGAGAGUACCCGAAGAACAAGCAUCGGCAAACUCCGCGCCAGCAGCGGCGGUAAUACGGAGGAUGCGAGUGUUAUCCGGAUUUAUUGGGUUUAAAGGGUGCGAAGGGGGAAAAUUAAGUCAGCGGUAAAAUCGAGGGGCUAAACCACUUUAAGCCGUUGAAACUGGUUAUCUUGAGUGGGCGAGAGGUAGGCGGAAUGCGUGGUGUAGCGGUGAAAUGCAUAGAUAUCACGAAGAACUCCGAUUGCGAAGGCAGCAUACCGGCGCCCGACUGACGCUGAGGCACGAAAGCGUGGGGAUCGAACAGGAUUAGAUACCCUGGUAGUC
Molecule: ribosomal RNA, 459 nt
Filed under: uncultured bacterium
Lineage: Bacteria
Description: partial 16S ribosomal RNA
Rfam family: Bacterial small subunit ribosomal RNA
Source: RNAcentral